Molecule: ribosomal RNA, 209 nt
Filed under: uncultured Gammaproteobacteria bacterium
Lineage: Bacteria; Pseudomonadati; Pseudomonadota; Gammaproteobacteria
Description: uncultured gamma proteobacterium partial 16S ribosomal RNA
Rfam family: Bacterial small subunit ribosomal RNA
Source: RNAcentral
CACGUAGGCGGCUUGGUAUGUCGGGUGUGAAAUCCCCCGGGCUCAACCUGGGAACUGCAUCCGAAACUGCCUUGCUAGAGUAUGGGAGAGGGAAGUGGAAUUUCCGGUGUAGCGGUGAAAUGCGUAGAUAUCGGAAGGAACAUCAGUGGCGAAGGCGACUUCCUGGACCAAUACUGACGCUCAGGUGCGAAAGCGUGGGGAGCAAACAG